AGUAACACGUAGGUAAUCUGCCCUCGAGCGGGGAAUAAUCCCGGGAAACCGGUUGUAAUACCGCAUAAUGUCUUGCGAAGACAUCUUCGCAGGAUCAAAGGCUUCGGCCACUUGAGGAUGAACCUGCGCCCCAUUAGCUAGUUGGUGAGGUAACGGCUCACCAAGGCGACGAUGGGUAGCUGGUCUGAGAGGACGAUCAGCCACACUGGGACUGAGAUACGGCCCAG
RNAcentral lists this ribosomal RNA (227 nucleotides) under uncultured bacterium. RNAcentral describes it as "partial 16S ribosomal RNA". It matches the Rfam family "Bacterial small subunit ribosomal RNA", at positions 109 to 334 of the family's 1533-position model. The record is from RNAcentral.